This 738-nucleotide ribosomal RNA is filed under the name uncultured bacterium. Its description in RNAcentral is "bacterial SSU rRNA". It matches the Rfam family "Bacterial small subunit ribosomal RNA", at positions 9 to 707 of the family's 1533-position model. The record is from RNAcentral.
GAGUUUGAACCUGGCUCAGGACGAACGCUGGCGGCGUGCCUAAUACAUGCAAGUCGAGCGAGCUUGCCUAGAUGAUUUUAGUGCUUGCACUAAAUGAAACUAGAUACAAGCGAGCGGCGGACGGGUGAGUAACACGUGGGUAACCUGCCCAAGAGACUGGGAUAACACCUGGAAACAGAUGCUAAUACCGGAUAACAACACUAGACGCAUGUCUAGAGUUUGAAAGAUGGUUCUGCUAUCACUCUUGGAUGGACCUGCGGUGCAUUAGCUAGUUGGUAAGGUAACGGCUUACCAAGGCAAUGAUGCAUAGCCGAGUUGAGAGACUGAUCGGCCACAUUGGGACUGAGACACGGCCCAAACUCCUACGGGAGGCAGCAGUAGGGAAUCUUCCACAAUGGACGAAAGUCUGAUGGAGCAACGCCGCGUGAGUGAAGAAGGGUUUCGGCUCGUAAAGCUCUGUUGGUAGUGAAGAAAGAUAGAGGUAGUAACUGGCCUUUAUUUGACGGUAAUUACUUAGAAAGUCACGGCUAACUACGUGCCAGCAGCCGCGGUAAUACGUAGGUGGCAAGCGUUGUCCGGAUUUAUUGGGCGUAAAGCGAGUGCAGGCGGUUCAAUAAGUCUGAUGUGAAAGCCUUCGGCUCAACCGGAGAAUUGCAUCAGAAACUGUUGAACUUGAGUGCAGAAGAGGAGAGUGGAACUCCAUGUGUAGCGGUGGAAUGCGUAGAUAUAUGGAAGAAC